GUGGCUGAUGCACUCUCCCAUGAAAGUUUCCCAAAAUCAACUGGUUAAAAUCGUCCUUGAAAUAUAAAAAAUAUUGUUAGUCUUUAUACAGUUAGUAGCAGAUCUACAGAUGCAUGUGUCUUACUAAUUCUGUUUUCUCCUAGAGCUCCAGGAAGAAAUCAAGCCAGUGUUUCACACUAUCUCUGAUUUGGGGGGCAUGUCAUAAAUAUAAAGGGAAGGGUGAACGCCUUUAAAAACUCUC
This is a long non-coding RNA of Dermochelys coriacea (leatherback sea turtle), 241 nucleotides long. RefSeq lists it as uncharacterized. Lineage: Eukaryota; Metazoa; Chordata; Testudines; Dermochelyidae. The record is from RefSeq and is a predicted model, not a curated record. The transcript has 3 exons.